CGGGGUGAUGAGCGGCUGCGAACGAUGACCCUCGAAGUGUGCGCCCUUCGACAGAUCAAGCGAUUCGGCUGAUGAGGGAUCAAAUCAACCGGGUUCGAAAACCUUCACUAGGUUCGGCUGGUAUGAGCCGAAUGUAUUGACUGAGCAAGGAUUGAGGUCGGCCGAUGAGCCGAAUAGAAGAAGUACACAGUAAUUGGUCGGCUGAAAGAGCCGAAUGGAAGAUGUAUACAAUGACUGGUAGGUUGAAAGAGCCGAAUGCCUUUAUAUAAUAAUAAAAAAGAGUGUGCCCGAAGGGCAUACAGAUUCAGAAAUAUAGUUUACAACAGAGUGAUACCCGUGGGGUAGACAGACUCUGCAAAUGUAGUCUACAACG
RNAcentral lists this long non-coding RNA (373 nucleotides) under Ananas comosus (pineapple). RNAcentral describes it as "long non-coding RNA (ACOM_LNC021018)". The record is from RNAcentral. Lineage: Eukaryota; Viridiplantae; Streptophyta; Magnoliopsida; Poales; Bromeliaceae.